Molecule: ribosomal RNA, 316 nt
Filed under: Otospora bareae
Lineage: Eukaryota; Fungi; Glomeromycota; Glomeromycetes; Diversisporales; Diversisporaceae
Description: SSU rRNA
Rfam family: Eukaryotic small subunit ribosomal RNA
Source: RNAcentral
UUGGAGGGCAAGUCUGGUGCCAGCAGCCGCGGUAAUUCCAGCUCCAAUAGCGUAUAUUAAAGUUGUUGCAGUUAAAAAGCUCGUAGUUGAACUUCGGGGUUUACCCAUUGGUCAGGCUUAAUUGUCUGCACUGGUGAGAUGAAUCUCUACCUUCUGAGGAACUUUCAUGCCAUUUAUUUGGUGUGAUGGGAAAUCAGGACUGUUACUUUAGAAAAAUUGAGUGUUUAAAGCAGGCUAACGUCUGAAUACAUUAGCAUGGAAUAAUGAAAUAGGACGGACUGAUUCUAUUUCGUUGGUUUCUAGGAUCACCGUAAUG